GUUUAUUUUAUUUGCAAAGCGUUUAUUUUAUUUGCAGCGGCGUUUCUUUUUAUUUGCAGCGUUUCUUUAAUUUUCAGCAAUGAUCUCAGCUGUAUUAUUAUGUAAACAUACUUUUCUCAUCCCAUCAUUUUGUGACAUAAUGUGAACUCAGAGUAGGCAAAAAAAAAAAAAAGCAACGCUGUGAAGUGACGGGUCGACGCAGGGUACCAGACCAGCAUCUCUCUCAGACAUCAGUUCCAGUCGAGCAUCGCGACUUCAGUGCCAGCCUUUCUAACUUGCCUGCAGGGGUUCUUACACUUUACUAAAGAUGUGAAACAAUGAGCCGCAGCUACAGCUCCUACUUUAUACAUGUAUUUUGUGAUAACGACGGCCGUAAACGCCGCAAGGAGGUUUUUCUAUUCAACGUUCAGAGCCGGGAGUCGCCCGAGGUCGCGUUUCCCGCCUCACGUUUUUAAAAGAGUUCACCUUUUCACGUCUUCUCCGCAGCAUUCGCAUCUGCCGAGUUUACGCCGUAUUUUCUACGAGUCAGACUUGCCUUUUACUGCCGCAGCAUUCAUGUCCAGAGUUGAAUGUUUACAUCGUUAUGUAAAUAAACAGAAAUAUUACGAUCAA
Long non-coding RNA from Cololabis saira (Pacific saury), 612 nucleotides. RefSeq lists it as uncharacterized. The transcript has 2 exons. The record is from RefSeq and is a predicted model, not a curated record. Lineage: Eukaryota; Metazoa; Chordata; Actinopteri; Beloniformes; Belonidae.